Molecule: ribosomal RNA, 441 nt
Filed under: uncultured bacterium
Lineage: Bacteria
Description: partial 16S ribosomal RNA
Rfam family: Bacterial small subunit ribosomal RNA
Source: RNAcentral
CCUACGGGAGGCAGCAGUGGGGGAUAUUGCACAAUGGGGGAAACCCUGAUGCAGCGACGCCGCGUGGGUGAAGAAGUAUUUCGGUAUGUAAAGCCCUAUCAGCAGGGAAGAAAGAAGACGGUACCUGACUAAGAAGCCCCGGCUAACUACGUGCCAGCAGCCGCGGUAAUACGUAGGGGGCGAGCGUUAUCCGGAUUCACUGGGUGUAAAGGGAGCGUAGACGGCCGUGCAAGCCAGGAGUGAAAGCCCGGGGCCCAACCCCGGGACUGCUCUUGGAACUGUGCGGCUGGAGUGCGGGAGGGGCAGGCGGAAUUCCUGGGGUAGCGGUGAAAUGCGUAGAUAUCAGGAGGAACACCGGCGGCGAAGGCGGCCUGCUGGACCGCGACUGACGUUGAGGCUCGAAAGCGUGGGGAGCGAACAGGAUUAGAUACCCGUGUAGUC